This 466-nucleotide ribosomal RNA is filed under the name uncultured bacterium. RNAcentral's name for it is "partial 16S ribosomal RNA". It matches the Rfam family "Bacterial small subunit ribosomal RNA", at positions 28 to 507 of the family's 1533-position model. The record is from RNAcentral.
GAUGAACGCUGGCGGCGUGCUUAACACAUGCAAGUCGAACGGAAAGGCUCCUGCUUGCAGGGGUACUCGAGUGGCGAACGGGUGAGUAACACGUGGGUGAUCUGCCCUGCACUUCGGGAUAAGCCUGGGAAACUGGGUCUAAUACCGGAUAGGACGAUGGUUUGGAUGCCAUUGUGGAAAGUUUUUUCGGUGUGGGAUGAGCUCGCGGCCUAUCAGCUUGUUGGUGGGGUAAUGGCCUACCAAGGCGUCGACGGGUAGCCGGCCUGAGAGGGUGUACGGCCACAUUGGGACUGAGAUACGGCCCAGACUCCUACGGGAGGCAGCAGUGGGGAGUAUUGCACAAUGGGCGCAAGCCUGAUGCAGCGACGCCGCGUGGGGGAUGACGGCCUUCGGGUUGUAAACUCCUUUCGCUAGGGACGAAGCGCAAGUGACGGUACCUGGAGAAGAAGCACCGGCUAACUACGUG